This 472-nucleotide ribosomal RNA is filed under the name uncultured bacterium. RNAcentral's name for it is "partial 16S ribosomal RNA". It matches the Rfam family "Bacterial small subunit ribosomal RNA", at positions 28 to 523 of the family's 1533-position model. The record is from RNAcentral.
GACGAACGCUGGCGGCGUGCUUAACACAUGCAAGUCGAACGGGAGUAUCGAAGAAGCUUGCUUUUAAGAUACUUUAGUGGCGGACGGGUGAGUAACGCGUGAGGAGCUGUCCUAUGCAGGGGGACAACAGUUGGAAACGACUGCUAAUACCCCAUAAGCCGAGAGGUAAAAGGAUUUAUCCGGCAAAGGAGGUACUCGCGUCCUAUCAGCUAGUAGGUUGGGUAACGGCCGACCUAGGCGAAGACGGGUAGCCGGCCUGGGAGGGCGAACGGCCACACGGGAACUGAGAUACUGUCCAGACUCCUACGGGAGGAAGCAGUGGGGGAUAUUGGGCCAUGGGGGAAACCAUGACCCAGCGCCGCCGCGUGGGGGAAGAAAUCCUUCGGGAUGUAAAGCCCUGUUGUAUGGGAAGAGCAGAAGACGGUACCAUACGAGGAAGCCCCGGCAAACUACGUGCCAGCAGCCGCCGCCG